UACGUAGGGGGCAAGCGUUACUCGGAUUCACUGGGCGUAAAGCGCGUGUAGGCGGCUGGUCAAGCGUGGUGUGAAAUCUCCGGGCUCAACCCGGAAACUGCACCGCGAACUGGCCUGGCUGGAGUGCAGGAGAGGGAAGGGGAAUUCCCGGUGUAGCGGUGAAAUGCGUAGAUAUUCGCAAGAACACCAGUGGCGAAGGCGGCUCACUGGCCCGGUACUGACGCUGAGGUGCGAAAGCGUGGGGAGCAAACAGG
Molecule: ribosomal RNA, 254 nt
Filed under: uncultured bacterium
Lineage: Bacteria
Description: partial 16S ribosomal RNA
Rfam family: Bacterial small subunit ribosomal RNA
Source: RNAcentral